Molecule: ribosomal RNA, 253 nt
Filed under: uncultured bacterium
Lineage: Bacteria
Description: partial 16S ribosomal RNA
Rfam family: Bacterial small subunit ribosomal RNA
Source: RNAcentral
UAAGGAGGGCGCAAGCGUUGCUCGGAAUUACUGGGCGUAAAGCGCGUGCAGGCGGUCGAGUAAGUCGGUUGUGAAAUCCCCAGGCUCAACCUGGGAACUGCAUCCGAAACUGCUCGGCUAGAGUCUCGGAGAGGGAGGCGGAACUCCCAGUGUAGGGGUGAAAUCCGUAGAUAUUGGGAAGAACACCGGCGGCGAAAGCGGCCUCCUGGACGAUGACUGACGCUGAGACGCGAAAGCGUGGGGAGCAAACAGG